This 254-nucleotide ribosomal RNA is filed under the name uncultured prokaryote. RNAcentral describes it as "partial 16S ribosomal RNA". It matches the Rfam family "Bacterial small subunit ribosomal RNA", at positions 525 to 777 of the family's 1533-position model. The record is from RNAcentral.
ACGGAGGGUGCGAGCGUUGUUCGGAAUCACUGGGCGUAAAGCGCGUGUAGGCGGCCUCUUAAGUCCGAUGUGAAAGCCCGGGGCUCACCCCCGGAAGUGCAUUGGAUACUGAGUGGCUGGAGUACCGGAGAGGAGGGUGGAAUUCCUGGUGUAGCGGUGAAAUGCGUAGAUAUCGAGAGGAACACCAGCGGCGAAGGCGGGUUGCUGGGCUGACACUGACGCUGAUUGUGCGAAAGCUAGGGGAGCGAACGGGA